This 193-nucleotide non-coding RNA is filed under the name Parasitella parasitica. RNAcentral describes it as "Eukaryotic large subunit ribosomal RNA". It matches the Rfam family "Eukaryotic large subunit ribosomal RNA", at positions 1190 to 1379 of the family's 3401-position model. The record is from Rfam by way of RNAcentral. Lineage: Eukaryota; Fungi; Mucoromycota; Mucoromycetes; Mucorales; Mucoraceae.
AAGUGAAAUGCUGAAAUGAAAAAAAAAGCCAAGUAAGGUGUUAGUUCAUCUAGACAGCAGGACGGUGGCCAUGGAAGUCGGAAUCCGCUAAGGAGUGUGACAACUCACCUGCCGAAUGAACUAGCCCUGAAAAUGGAUGGGCUUAAGCGUGUUACCCAUACUUUCCCGUUAUUGUAAAAGCGAAGCAAUAACG